Non-coding RNA from Nothobranchius furzeri (turquoise killifish), 535 nucleotides. NCBI's taxonomy places the organism in Eukaryota, Metazoa, Chordata, Actinopteri, Cyprinodontiformes, Nothobranchiidae. The record is from RefSeq and is a predicted model, not a curated record.
UGAGCCAGAGAGCCUGUUGAUGAUAUUUCAGGUACAUCUAAGGUAUUACCAGCUACUCCAGGGUCAUGACCACAUAAUGGCACCACACACAAUGUUGACUCUCCUGGAGAAGGAACAUCUCAAGCAUUUCCUGAUCAAGAAGCCCAAAAGAAGCGCCCUCGAAGGAUUCAAAAGCGUCCCUGGUCUCCAAAAGAAGUUGCUGCAGUGAUGAAGUACUUUAGCAAACACAUCAACACUGGGAAGCUGGCAUCCUUCAUUGAAAUAGAACAGUGUAAAAAGGCUGAAUAUCUCGUCCUUAAAGGCCGAUCUCCACAGAACAUAAGAGACUUUGUUCGAAACAGAGGCAAAGCUAAAAAAAAAUCCUAGAUGUCUCGAUCGUUGAUGUUGAGCAAAAUGUUAAUUAAAGCUCCAUACAAGAAUAUUUGCUGUGCUUUCAAGUUGACAGUUGUAGUUCAAUAACCCUCCCACUAUCUUUAUGGGUGACCCCGCGAGGAAAGUUGACCAUUGAGCAGGAUUGAUGGUUUAUCCCUUGGGU